GACGAACGCUGGCGGCGUGCCUAAUACAUGCAAGUCGAGCGAAGUUUUUCUGGUGCUUGCACCGGAAAAACUUAGCGGCGAACGGGUGAGUAACACGUAAAGAACCUGCCUCAUAGACUGGGACAACUAUUGGAAACGACAGCUAAUACCGGAUAACAGCAUUAACUGCAUGGUUGAUGUUUAAAAGUUGGUUUUGCUAACACUAUGAGAUGGCUUUGCGGUGCAUUAGCUAGUUGGUGGGGUAAAGGCCUACCAAGGCGACGAUGCAUAGCCGACCUGAGAGGGUGAUCGGCCACACUGGGACUGAGACACGGCCCAGACUCCUACGGGAGGCAGCAGUAGGGAAUCUUCCGCAAUGGGCGAAAGCCUGACGGAGCAACGCCGCGUGAGUGAAGAAGGAUUUCGGUUCGUAAAGCUCUGUUGUUAGGGAAGAAUGAUUGUGUAGUAACUAUACACAGUAGAGACGGUACCUAACCAGAAAGCCACGGCUAACUACGUG
This 499-nucleotide ribosomal RNA is filed under the name uncultured bacterium. RNAcentral's name for it is "partial 16S ribosomal RNA". It matches the Rfam family "Bacterial small subunit ribosomal RNA", at positions 28 to 507 of the family's 1533-position model. The record is from RNAcentral.